GAUGAACGCUGGCGGCGUGACUAAUACAUGCAAGUCGAGCGAACGGACGAGAAGCUUGCUUCUCUGAUGUUAGCGGCGGACGGGUGAGUAACACGUGGAUAACCUACCUAUAAGACUGGGAUAACUUCGGGAAACCGGAGCUAAUACCGGAUAAUAUUUUGAACCGCAUGGUUCAAAAGUGAAAGACGGCCUUGCUGUCACUUAUAGAUGGAUCCGCGCUGCAUUAGCUAGUUGGUAAGGUAACGGCUUACCAAGGCAACGAUGCAUAGCCGACCUGAGAGGGUGAUCGGCCACACUGGAACUGAGACACGGUCCAGACUCCUACGGGAGGCAGCAGUAGGGAAUCUUCCGCAAUGGGCGAAAGCCUGACGGAGCAACGCCGCGUGAGUGAUGAAGGUCUUCGGAUCGUAAAACUCUGUUAUUAGGGAAGAACAUAUGUGUAAGUAACUGUGCACAUCUUGACGGUACCUAAUCAGAAAGCCACGGCUAACUACGUG
This 497-nucleotide ribosomal RNA is filed under the name uncultured bacterium. RNAcentral's name for it is "partial 16S ribosomal RNA". It matches the Rfam family "Bacterial small subunit ribosomal RNA", at positions 28 to 507 of the family's 1533-position model. The record is from RNAcentral.